RNAcentral lists this ribosomal RNA (253 nucleotides) under uncultured prokaryote. RNAcentral describes it as "partial 16S ribosomal RNA". It matches the Rfam family "Bacterial small subunit ribosomal RNA", at positions 525 to 777 of the family's 1533-position model. The record is from RNAcentral.
ACGAAGGGUGCAAGCGUUACUCGGAAUUACUGGGCGUAAAGGGUGCGUAGGUGGUUUUUUGUGUCGGUGGUGAAAGCCCCGGGCUUAACCUGGGAAUGGCCAUGGAAACUGGCGAACUGGAGUGUGGCAGAGGGGGGUGGAAUUCCGCGUGUAGCAGUGAAAUGCGUAGAGAUGCGGAGGAACACCGAUGGCGAAGGCAGCCCCCUGGGCUAGCACUGACGCUCAGGCACGAAAGCGUGGGGAGCAAACAGGA